RNAcentral lists this transfer RNA (60 nucleotides) under Monosporozyma servazzii. Its description in RNAcentral is "Kazachstania servazzii partial transfer RNA". The record is from RNAcentral. Lineage: Eukaryota; Fungi; Ascomycota; Saccharomycetes; Saccharomycetales; Saccharomycetaceae.
GGGGAGGUUCGAACUCUCGACCUUCAGAUUAUGAGACUGACGCUCUUCCGACUGAGCUAC